GGGGCUGUGGCUCAGUGGCAGAGUGCUUGUCUUGAAUGUGUGAGGCACUGGGUUCAAUCCUCAGCAGCACAU
Ictidomys tridecemlineatus (thirteen-lined ground squirrel) is the source of this 72-nucleotide non-coding RNA. Lineage: Eukaryota; Metazoa; Chordata; Mammalia; Rodentia; Sciuridae. The record is from Rfam.